This is a long non-coding RNA of Aethalodelphis obliquidens (Pacific white-sided dolphin), 3433 nucleotides long. RefSeq lists it as uncharacterized. Lineage: Eukaryota; Metazoa; Chordata; Mammalia; Artiodactyla; Delphinidae. The transcript is spliced from 3 exons. The record is from RefSeq and is a predicted model, not a curated record.
CACCGCAAGACCAAUUUCAAGAUGAUUGUCGGAGCUGACUGUGCUGUUUCUGCAUGUAGACCCUUCCCUUUGCCUGUACACCCCCGAAACUCCCCUUUAAAGGCUCUGAUUGGCAGGGGGAGUUGGCUUUUGGACACACAAGUCUGCCUUCUCCCCCCGGGUUGCUGGCCUCCUGUGUGAAGCAACCUCUCCUUUCCUACCAACACCUGUUUCUUGAGUAUUGGCUUUCAAGCUUCGAGCAGCCAGACCUGAGCUCCGUAACAUCUUAAAGGUGCAGCUCGAUGAAUCAAAUUCUGUGCGCACCCAGGAGUCACGGCUCAGAUCCAGAAAGAAGCUUCUGAUCACCCCCAGAAAAUCCCAAGUAUUCCUUCCCAGUCAUGCCCACCCUCCUGAGGUCCCGUCACUCUGAUUUCUGUCAUUGUGGCUUAGAUUUUCCCGCCCUUGAACCUCUUGAAUGGAAUCCUGCUCUUGUUUCUGGCUUUUUUUUUUUCCUUUAAAGUCAGCUUUAUUGAGGGACAGUCUACACACAGUAAAAUGGACCCAUUUUAAGUGUGUAGACUGAUGAGUGUUGGCAGCUGUAUCACGCAGUGGCCCCAGUCAAGGCAUAGAACAUUUCCAUCCUCCAAGAAGUAUAUUGGUGCCCCUUCGCGGUCAACACUCCUCCUCCAUCCCUAAGACACCACUAAUCACCUUUCUGUGACUGUACAUUAACCUUUCCUAGAGUUUCAUAGAAAGAGAACCAUAUAUUAAGUGCUUUUUUCUGGCUUCUUUUACUCAGUACAUCUAUGAGGUUCAUCCGUGCUGUGCUUUCUAGUGGCUUGUUCUCUUUUUGUUGCUGUGUGUGUUAAGUUCCAUCCUUUGAUGGGUGGUUGGGUUUCACGAAGCUCGGGGCAAGCCACCCCCAAAUAUGCCAAAGGGGCAGAUUGAUUAUGCUGAAUUAAAGUUACUUGAGAAACAGUGGAGGCAAGAAGGGCACUCUGACCCUCCUCUCUGUCCCCCUGAAAGCAGAAAAUAAAUCUCCCAUGUGGAAUAUACCCUUCCUGCACCAGGAGGUAGAGAGACAUCCUUAUCACCAGAGAUGGGGAAUUCCAGGCAAGAAGGCUGUGUAACAGACUCUGCCUAGUUUCUUCGCUAAUGAGUACCCAAACCUGAGUUUCUUUGUCUUGUCAGUUCUUCACAAAUUUGUUGUUUCUUUGUCUAAAAAGCAUAAAAGCUGCCUGCUUUGGUCAUUUCUUUGGGGCCCAUAUCUAUGAGACCUCGGCAUGUAGGAAAUUCAAUUUGGUUUUUUUCUCCUUCUGUUAAUCUGUCUUGUGUCAAUUCAACUAUCCUGGACAGGCUAUUUUCAGUUUGGGGCUCAAAGAAUAAAGCUGGUAUGACUCUCCUUGUUCAUAAUCCUGUCUUACCGGCUUCUUAAGGUUCUUGAGUGGACGAACCUGGAUUUGCUCAUGAAUCUUCUGUCAUGGGCAUUAAGGUUAUUUCACACCUUUUUGCUUUUAAAAUUAGCAGUGUGAUGAACAUCUUUGUCCUUAAGGGAUAAUUUCCUUCAGCAAAGAUCAUUUCUGUGGUCCUCAGGCCUCUGAACCCUCCUAUCUUCCCUCCUGCCCACUCUCAUCUGGGUCAGCCCCAGAUGGGCUGCUCUGGAACCUGGCCUCUGGGGGUGGGGUGGGACUAUCCCCCCCUCCCUCCCACCCAGCGCCUGGCAUAGCAUGGGCACACAUCCAAUGCCAGGAGACCCCUUGCUGGCUUGAAUUUACAGCCUGCCCUUCUUCCUUAGCCUCCCCCAGGCCCCAUGCGGAAGCUAAGCGGCAGCAGGAAGCCCUGGUCUGGGAGUUGAGGAACCCGUUUCUGCUGGGCCCGGGAAAGCCCUGGACACACCCACGUGGGGGCUGGGGCCCUCACUUCCCCGCCUCGCAGCUCCGGCCACUCCUUGGGGGAAGCCCCAGAGGGGGUGGCAUCUUUAGCGGAAAGAGCCCCUAGUUGAUCCAUCCAGGCUGCCACUCACUGGUGUCUGUCCCUGGGGAGUCUGGCAGCUCCGGGGCAGCCCUCUUCCAGGACAUGGGAGCCCAAUGGCUGGAAGAUGGAUGUAACCUGGUGCCCACUUCCUUAGCUGCCGUGUGGGUAGAGAGCAGCUGGUAGCCUUGAUGCAAAUCCUCCCGCAGUUCUAGUCCCUCCGGACGAGGCUGCUGGCUUUCAACUGCCCCAGAAACUAGCCUAGCUGCAUUCCAGACCCCCUGGCACAGGGGAAAAGGUCCUGACUUCCAGCCCCUGUCAUCUCAAGGGAGAAGAUGGGCCAGCCAGGGCGCCCCGGUGAGAAGGUCUCUGACACCCAGCUGUCUGGUGCAACCGCCCCCCCCCCACCAUGCCGCGGCUGAUGCCAUCCCUGGCCCCGAGGACUCGGACCUGGUGCCCUCCCUGACCCUGGCUGCGGCUCUGGUUCUGUUGUUCCUCUUGUUCUCGGCCUGGCUGGUAUGGGACAGGGCCCUCCGAGGUUUUUGCUAAUGUGGGCUCCCAAGCAGGGAGUGUGGGUAUCCCUGGGGCGGGAGUGGCACCGGCCCCUCCAGCCACACCCUGGGCCAAAUCCUGUGGCCAGCCACUCAGCCCUCGCCCGUGGCAGCCCCAGUGGGACCCCAGGAGGCCCCCAACUCCCUCCCACUGGAGGGCAGGAACCCCGAUGAGCCAUGGAGUCUGCAGCAGAAAGUCGCUGCUGGAGCCUCAUGUCUGGGGACGGCCACAGAAGGUGGGCUGAGGACCUGGGGCAGCCGAGAGUGCCCAGGCAGAUGGGCCUCAAAAGCGUCCCGUCCUGGCUGGCUGCGGGGUGUGGUGGGGUCCCCAUCCUUGUACCGCCAUCCUGAGUGUUGCAGAUAAAGCCAGGUGACCUCUGGGUAUUGGUGGAAUGAAUCAGAACGAGUCGGGGGACGAGAGCUCCAGCCCAGGCUCUGCCCAUGCUGGGCCGUGUGAUGGUGGGCGAGGCCCUUCUCCAUUCCAAACCUCGGUUUCCCAGUCAUCAAAGGAGGAUGGCAAUACCUACUUCGGGGCAUCGUUGGGAGGGCCCCCCAGUAGGUAGGCAUUCUGUGGUCACCUCCGCAGCACACAGUCUCCCUUUGUGUCCGUCCCUCUUCCUCCUCCUGGAACCCAGAAAACCCUUGGAGGAAGCCCCGCACCCUCCCCAGGGCUGAGGCCAGUCAGAGACGGGAUGCGCUGGUCUUGGCCGCCACCUGGUGGCUGAAGUCAGAACUACACCAUCCCUUUAGCGUUCCCUUCAGGGCAGAGGAAGUGAAGGUGUUUGUUUUAUUUUUUAAAUUUUGAGAUUGUGGAUAAGCACAAAUCGGAUUACGUGGAGAAAACUUCUUUUACCAUUUGCUAGUUAUCUUCUUUCCCUCUAUUUCCGUAUCUAUAAUCUCCUUACCAAAAAAGCAUCAGGCCGAAGGCGGAG